CUAGACCUCAGCCAAAUUCCUAGUUUUGCUGCUGCCUAGCAAAACCAGCACCUAUUUAAUACAAUUUAUUAUAGCGAACCCAAAGGCUCUUUUAAGAGCCAUCCACAUUGCGUCACUGAUUGGACAUCUUAUUCAUCUUUCAGCUUGCCUCUUAAAAACUGCCAGGAAACACCAAAAAACACCGAUUCAACUAAAAAACAAAGCCUACAAAUUCUACCCAAAACAAACGACCCAUUUUUUACCCCACCCAGACCACUCUUUUGCCCUAACCCCAAUACACCGACUACCCCCAAACAGAACGCCCCUUUUAACUUUUUGCUUUGACAGAAAGAGUGAGAGCAGAACUACCUACAGCUCCAGUGUGCCCUGCUGCCUUGAGUGUCUUCACAAAGCAACGUUGAUUAGAGGACUGCGUUGGGAAAUCAACACCAUCAACACACACAAUAAUUUACUAUAGUUUUAAAAUUACAUAAUUUCCUAUAGUCUUUUAGACUGUUUACAAUAGAUAAUACACAUUACAGUACUUUUAAAAGUCAUUAAUAUAUCAGUAAAAAAAUUGUUUUGGCAAGUUCAUCUUUGAAACGUAUUACAUUAUAUCUGAGUCUUUUCACAUUUGCCUAUACUCAUACUUACUAUACUAAUUAAUUGCAUUAGUGAUAUUGCCUAGUGAUAUUGUUAUCAUUUCUGUAAAAUAUUGGGGUAAACAGUGUUUAACAGUUCAACAGUUCCAUUGCUAUAGUCUUGUGUGUUUGUAUAUCUAAUUUGUUGACUGUUUUAACUGUGAAAUUAGUACAGUACUUUAAAAGAUUGUUAAUAUAUAAGUAAAAUAUUCUAAGUUUGACUGUUGUUGUAACUGCUAAUUGAAUAGACUACAUUUAAAGGUCAUUAAACAUUUUUGGUUUGCCAAGUUCCUCUUUGAAUCUUACCACAUUGUAACAUUUACCUUUAUUAGUUGAUUGCAUUACUGAUAUUGCUUUUGGUUAAAAUUUUUGUACAAUAUUGGGGUUGACAGUAUAACAGUUCAAUUGCUGCUUAUAAUAGAUAAUACACAUUACAGUACUUUUAAAGUCAUUAAUAUAUCAGUAAAAAAAAAUAGUUUUUGCAAGUUCAUCUUUGAAACGUAUUACAUUUAUAUCUGAGUCUUUUCACAUUUGCCUAUACUCUACUAAUUAAUUACAUUAGUAAUAUUGCCUUUGGUUAUCAUUUCUGUAAAAUAUUGGGGUUAACAGUUCAACAGUUCCAUUGCUAUAGUCUUGUGUGUUUGUAUAUCUAAGUUCUUGACUGUUUUAACGGUGAAAUUUUAGUACAGUACUUUAAUAUAUCAGUAAAAUAUUCUAAGUUUGACUGUUGUUGUAACUGCUAUUUGAAUAGACUACGUUUAAAGGUCAUUAAAAUAUUUUGGUUUGCCAAGUUCCUCUUUGAAUCUUACCACAUUGUAACAUUUACCUUUAUUAAUUGAUUGCAUUACUGAUAUUGCUUUUGGUUAACAUUUUUGUACAAUAUUGGGGUUGACGGUGUUUGACAGUAUAACAGUUCAAUUGCUAUAGUUUUGUGUGUGUGUAUAUUUAAUUUGUUGACUUGUUACUGAAAUUUCACUCCUGUACUUUAAAAGCUAAUUAAUAUAUCAGUAAUAUAUUUACAGUUUGACUCUUGUUGUAAUUGAUAUUUGAG
Non-coding RNA from Paramisgurnus dabryanus, 1671 nucleotides. NCBI's taxonomy places the organism in Eukaryota, Metazoa, Chordata, Actinopteri, Cypriniformes, Cobitidae. The record is from RefSeq and is a predicted model, not a curated record.